UGGACCCGUGAUCCGGGUUGCGGACAGUGUCUGGUGGGUAGUUUGACUGGGGCGGUCUCCUCCUAAAGAGUAACGGAGGAGCACGAAGGUUGGCUAAUCCUGGUCGGACAUCAGGAGGUUAGUGCAAUGGCAUAAGCCAGCUUGACUGCGAGCGUGACGGCGCGAGCAGGUGCGAAAGCAGGUCAUAGUGAUCCGGUGGUUCUGAAUGGAAGGGCCAUCGCUCAACGGAUAAAAGGUACUCCGGGGAUAACAGGCUGAUACCGCCCAAGAGUUCAUAUCGACGGCGGUGUUUGGCACCUCGAUGUCGGCUCAUCACAUCCUGGGGCUGAAGUAGGUCCCAAGGGUAUGGCUGUUCGCCAUUUAAAGUGGUACGCGAGCUGGGUUUAGAACGUCGUGAGACAGUUCGGUCCCUAUCUGCCGUGGGCGCUGGAGAACUGAGGGGGGCUGCUCCUAGUACGAGAGGACCGGAGUGGACGCAUCACUGGUGUUCGGGUUGUCAUGCCAAUGGCACUGCCCGGUAGCUAAAUGCGGAAGAGAUAAGUGCUGAAAGCAUCUAAGCACGAAACUUGCCCCGAGAUGAGUUCUCCCUGACCCUUUAAGGGUCCUGAAGGAACGUUGAAGACGACGACGUUGAUAGGCCGGGUGUGUAAGCGCAGCGAUGCGUUGAGCUAACCGGUACUAAUGAACCGUGAGGCUUAACCUU
Molecule: ribosomal RNA, 703 nt
Filed under: Shigella flexneri
Lineage: Bacteria; Pseudomonadati; Pseudomonadota; Gammaproteobacteria; Enterobacterales; Enterobacteriaceae
Also listed under: 1 other name
Description: partial 23S ribosomal RNA
Rfam family: Bacterial large subunit ribosomal RNA
Source: RNAcentral